GUGCAUGCGCGCACGCGCGCACACGCGUGCGCGUACGAGUGCAUGAGAGCUUUUUAUUUAUUUAUUUUUAGAACAGGGUUUUGAUGUAGCCCUGGUUGUCCUGGAACUUACUUUGUAGUAGGGGGUCUGCCACCAAUGUCUGGCUCUCUGGUCUGUUGUACACAGCUGCCAUGACAGCCCAGGGCCUUGGAUAACUCUCUCUUCUCUCUCCAGAUCUGGGUCCUGGCUCUGUCUGUCUGUUUCAUCUUCACAGUCACCAUUGGGUUGUUCCCUGCUGUGACUGCUGAGGUGGAAUCCAGCAUCGCAGGCACAAGUCCCUGGAGUAGGUUGUCAUGUGUCUUCCCCCCCUCUUCCCGCUCAGGGUGGAUUCAGCCAGUGUCUAAAGCAGAAUUGAGGGUGGAGUAUGGGCAACAUGGGGACCCUUCUCCCCAGUUGGAUCUACACAGGCCUACUCCACACCCUGCCAUUGGCUGGAAACAGCUCUCUGAUGCAGAGUGGGGAGGCGGAGGCCCAGAGAGGGCCAGGCGCUAAGUCUAAGUCUCUCUUGUAGAAAACUGCUACUUCAUCCCUGUGGCCUGCUUCCUGAAUUUCAAUGUCUUUGACUGGCUAGGCCGGAGCCUCACAGCUAUUUGCAUGUGGCCUGGUCAGGACAGCCGCUGGUUGCCGGUCCUGGUCGCCUGCAGGGUUGUGUUUAUCCCCCUGCUGAUGCUCUGCAAUGUGAAGCAGCACCACUACCUGCCC
This 741-nucleotide long non-coding RNA is filed under the name Rattus norvegicus (Norway rat). RNAcentral describes it as "long non-coding RNA NONRATT029228". The record is from RNAcentral. Lineage: Eukaryota; Metazoa; Chordata; Mammalia; Rodentia; Muridae.